Molecule: ribosomal RNA, 955 nt
Filed under: Metabacillus idriensis
Lineage: Bacteria; Bacillati; Bacillota; Bacilli; Caryophanales; Bacillaceae
Description: bacterial SSU rRNA
Rfam family: Bacterial small subunit ribosomal RNA
Source: RNAcentral
UUAGUAGCCAAUCCUCUUACGUAAUUAUUGGGACAUAAAGCGUCGCGCAGGCGUGUUUCCUAAGUCUGAAGUGAAAGCCCCCGGCUCAACCGGGGGAGGGUCAUUGGAAACUGGGAAACUUGAGUGCAGAAGAGGAGAGUGGAAUUCCACGUGUAGCGGUGAAAUGCGUAGAGAUGUGGAGGACACCAGGUGGCGAAGGCGACUCAUCUGGUCUGUAACUGACGCUGAAGGCGCGAAAGCGUGGGGAGCGAAACAGGAUUAGAUACCCUGGUAGUCCACGCCGUAAACGAUGAGUGCUAAGUGUUAGAGGGUUUCCGCCCUUUAGUGCUGCAGCUAACGCAUUAAGCACUCCGCCUGGGGAGUACGGUCGCAAGACUGAAACUCAAAGGAAUUGACGGGGGCCCGCACAAGCGGUGGAGCAUGUGGUUUAAUUCGAAGCAACGCGAAGAACCUUACCAGGUCUUGACAUCCUUUGCCACUUCUAGAGAUAGAAGGUUCCCCUUCGGGGGACAAAGUGACAGGUGGUGCAUGGUUGUCGUCAGCUCGUGUCGUGAGAUGUUGGGUUAAGUCCCGCAACGAGCGCAACCCUUGAUCUUAGUUGCCAGCAUUCAGUUGGGCACUCUAAGGUGACUGCCGGUGACAAACCGGAGGAAGGUGGGGAUGACGUCAAAUCAUCAUGCCCCUUAUGACCUGGGCUACACACGUGCUACAAUGGAUGGUACAAAGGGCUGCGAGACCGCGAGGUUUAGCCAAUCCCAUAAAACCAUUCUCAGUUCGGAUUGCAGGCUGCAACUCGCCUGCAUGAAGCUGGAAUCGCUAGUAAUCGCGGAUCAGCAUGCCGCGGUGAAUACGUUCCCGGGCCUUGUACACACCGCCCGUCACACCACGAGAGUUUGCAACACCCGAAGUCGGUGGGGUAACCGCAAGGAGCCAGCCGCCUAAGUGGGAAAAAGUU